GCUGAAAUAGCUCAGUUGGGAGAGUGUUAGACUGAAGAGCUUAAGGUCCCUGGUUUGAUACCGGGUUUUGGCA
Non-coding RNA from Sphaeramia orbicularis (orbiculate cardinalfish), 73 nucleotides. Lineage: Eukaryota; Metazoa; Chordata; Actinopteri; Kurtiformes; Apogonidae. The record is from the annotation of a RefSeq genome assembly.